RNAcentral lists this ribosomal RNA (497 nucleotides) under uncultured bacterium. RNAcentral's name for it is "partial 16S ribosomal RNA". It matches the Rfam family "Bacterial small subunit ribosomal RNA", at positions 28 to 507 of the family's 1533-position model. The record is from RNAcentral.
GACGAACGCUGGCGGCGUGCCUAAUACAUGCAAGUUGAGCGCUGAAGGUUGGUACUUGUACCAACUGGAUGAGCAGCGAACGGGUGAGUAACGCGUGGGGAAUCUGCCUUUGAGCGGGGGACAACAUUUGGAAACGAAUGCUAAUACCGCAUAAAAACUUUAAACACAAGUUUUAAGUUUGAAAGAUGCAAUUGCAUCACUCAAAGAUGAUCCCGCGUUGUAUUAGCUAGUUGGUGAGGUAAAGGCUCACCAAGGCGAUGAUACAUAGCCGACCUGAGAGGGUGAUCGGCCACAUUGGGAAUGAGACACGGCCCAAACUCCUACGGGAGGCAGCAGUAGGGGAUCUUCGGCAAUGGACGAAAGUCUGAACGAGCAACGCCGCGUGAGUGAAGAAGGUUUUCGGAUCGGAAAACUCUGUUGGUAGAGAAGAACGUUGGUGAGAGUGGAAAGCUCAUCAAGUGACGGUAACUACCCAGAAAGGGACGGCUAACUACGUG